RNAcentral lists this ribosomal RNA (456 nucleotides) under Triticum aestivum (bread wheat). RNAcentral's name for it is "partial small subunit ribosomal RNA". Lineage: Eukaryota; Viridiplantae; Streptophyta; Magnoliopsida; Poales; Poaceae. The record is from RNAcentral.
AUGUGGACGCGCCCCAUGGAUCACCAGGCAAAAACACUUAAAGGGAGCCGUGAACGGGCUGUACGAGGACACGGGAAAAAACUGGCCGACAGCCGUCGUGGACGGAAGUUGACGCGCGCCAUGGAAAACUGGGCAAAACCACGUACGUGGCACACGCCGCGUAGACGGACCCUUACACGGACCCGUGAACGGGCUGUACGUGGACACGGGAAAAAACUGGCCGACGGCCGUCGUGGACGGAAGUGGACGCGCGCCAUGGAAAACUGGGCAAAACCACGUACGACGCACACGCACGUACACGGACCGUUACACGGACCCGUGAACGGGCUGUACGUGGACACGGGAAAAAAGUGGCCGACGCCCGUCGUGGACGGAACCGGACGCGCGCCAUGGAAAACUGGGCAAAACCACGUACGAGGCACACACACGUACACGGACCCGUACACGGACCCGUGA